GCCCCGUCCAUCGUCCCUUUGAUGCGGUGCAGUUGUCCUGUCCCCUUAGCAUUAAAACACCCCCAAAGCAUAUUUCCACCUCCAUGUUUGACGGUGGAGAUGGUGUAAUUGGGGUCAUAGGCAGCAUUCCUCCUCCUCCUCCAAACACGGCGAGUUGAGUUGAUGCCAAAGACCUCAAUUUUGGGCUCAUCUGACCACAACACUUUCACCCAGUUCUC
Molecule: non-coding RNA, 218 nt
Organism: Pelobates cultripes (western spadefoot toad)
Lineage: Eukaryota; Metazoa; Chordata; Amphibia; Anura; Pelobatidae
Source: the annotation of a GenBank genome assembly